CGUUCGAACCCUAGUCGCAAGAUAUUUUACAAGUAGCACCAUUUUCUAUUGCCAAUUUACGCAGUUGUCUCAACGUAGAAUUUAGUAUUGUUGCAAUUGAGCCACUCUUCAAUUUCGUUUCUUUUCAUUUCGGUGAUGGUAAUAUUUCGAGAUGUUUCGCUUAAGUGCUUCGUUGCUUCGAUUGCCGAUGUUGGAAGCAAUAUAUUUGCCGAAGUUUCUCGAAUUGUACGCACGUGUAUAAUUGAAUUGCAUUUACAUACGGAUAUAUGUACGAAAAUGCAUAAGACAUCCUUAAUUUUGUAGAAGGGUUGCUUUAAUGCCACUUCUGACGCUUAUAGGCAAAAGGUUUUCGACAACUUUGAUGCGUAAUUGGUAUAUUUAUUUUUAAUUUUUUUAAAUUCUCCAAAAGUGCUUCACUGUCACUCGUGUCUUUCUCGUCGUCUUGCAAAAAAGGAAAGAAAACUAGAUGCAGUCAAAAGUCUCGAGGUCACUCUUCAUGCCGACCGGGCUCUCCAACUCGGGCCGGGAUUUCGUGUUACGAUGCAAUGUUUGAGUGCCAAGGAGGCUUACAAGUGGUAGUAGCUAAAACUAAUUCUUAGAUAGACGUGGAAUUUGGUAUAGCAUACCGAUACAAUAUUACAAUAUUGUCAUAAUUUACUAAACUUUUACAAUGGUUUAAAAAAAUUUUUGGUGCCUUCCACACUGAAAGAGUACUAAAACAGUACAACCUUGCUUGCUAUGUUUAUGUGGUGUAGUAAGCAAACAGCUGUUGUUUGUUUACAUUUGCUUCUCGUGAAAAUUCUGUUUUGUUUUGUGCUUAUACCGUCUGGCAAAUCUAGCUGCUUAUAAAACCGGAUCCUUUGCCAAAUAUUCAGCUAAAAGCGAAGCGUGUGCGCAUCAAUCCCACCAAGAAAUGGACCAUAGUAGACGAAAAGGCGCUCAUUGAGUUUUUGAUGGCGAAUGGAGAUUUCGAGAAGCCAACUGAUCAAAACUACUACAGGCGGUUUUCGUUGGAAAUGAAAUUGGAGGUUGAGUGGAAGCUGGCACGAGCGAAAGUACGAAACAUGCGCGACAGCUACAAUAAAGCCGAAGGUUGGGAAGGAUCAACCGGCGCCGGCAGCAUGGAUGGCGACACUUUUCGAACCAUUUUACUUAAAAAGUACACAUUUUUACGAGCUUGACGACAUUUUUGGCAACAGGCUCGUUGAAGCGGCUGUCAUUGAAGACAGUUUGGACUCCGUAUGUGAAGAUAUUUUCAAUUCAACAGAGCUCCUGUUCGAAGAAACCACAAUGUCGCCAACAAAUGUAACUAUUGAAACCGAAAACACAGCUUCCACAAGCUGUAAAGGGAUUUAUUCUCGAACUGCACUUACAGAUAUAGGUAAUUGAAAUGCAAGCAGACAUGUUAACUGUGAGGAAGCAGAAAGCUGACCAAGACUUUAGGUUGAGAGAAGAAGAGUUAAGUUAAAAGAAAAAAAUGAAUUAGCAUUGAAGGAAAAAGAAAUGGAAUCAAGAGAAAAGGAGAUGAAGAGUAAUGAAAGGCUAAAAAUUAGAGAGCUGGAAAUGGAGGAGAGACUGGCAAUGGAGGACCUUAACCGAAAAGAUAAAUAAUAAAAAACCACUCACCUACGUACAUACAUACAUAUGUGUGUAGGUACGUAC
Molecule: RNA transcript, 1662 nt
Organism: Rhagoletis zephyria (snowberry fruit fly)
Lineage: Eukaryota; Metazoa; Arthropoda; Insecta; Diptera; Tephritidae
Source: RefSeq, a predicted model, not a curated record